AUAGUAGACCCGAAACCGUAGUGAUCUAUCCAUGGCCAGGUUGAAGCACAGGUAAAAUUGUGUGGAGGACCGAACUCGUGAGCGUUGAAAAGCUUUGGGAUGAGUUGUGGAUAGGGGUGAAAUGCCAAUCGAACACGGAGAUAGCUGGUUCUCCCCGAAAUAGCUUUAGGGCUAGCCUCGAGGUUGAGAGUAUAGGCGGUAGAGCACUGAUCGGGCUAGGGGCCAUACCGGUUACCGAACCUAGUCAAACUACGAAUGGCUAUACUUAUACUCGGGAGUCAGACAGUGAAUGAUAAGGUCCAUUGUCAAGAGGGAAACAGCCCAGAACACCGACUAAGGUCCCAAAUGUUACACUAAGUGGCGAAGGAUGUGGAAUUUCCAAAACAACCAGGAUGUUGGCUUAGAAGCAGCCACCAUUUAAAGAGUGCGUAAUAGCUCACUGGUCGAGAGACUCUGCGCCGAAAAUGUCCGGGGCUAAAGUGUAAAACCGAAGUCGUGUCAUAUGCAGCAAUGUAUAUGGGUAGGGGAGCGUUCUCAUUGGGUUGAAGCAGUACCGUAAGGAGUUGUGGACUGAUGAGAAGUGAGAAUGUCGGUAUGAGUAGCGAAAAGAAUGGUGAGAAUCCAUUCCACCGAAAGCCUAAGGGUUCCUGAGCAACGAUCGUCGUCUCAGGGUAAGUCGGGACCUAAGCCGAGGCGGAAAAGCGUAGGCGAUGGACAACAGGUUGAAAUUCCUGUACCGGUGUGAAUCGUUUGAUCGAUGGAGUGACACAGUAAGGUAGGUCAGCACGCGAUUGGAAGUGCGUGUUUAAGCAUGUAGGUUGAGCUAUAGGCAAAUCCGUAGCUCUAAAAGCUGAGAUGUGAUGACGAGUUACUAGCAAUAGUAACGAAGUGAUUGAUCCUACACUGUCGAGAAAAGCUUCUAGGUAGAGACACAUCGCCCGUACCAAAACCGACACAGGUAGGCGGGGAGAGAAUCCUAAGGUGCGCGGGAAAACCCUCGUUAAGGAACUCGGCAAAAUGCCUCCGUAACUUCGGGAAAAGGAGGACUCAUGUAGUGUGAAGAGCAGCAACGCUUGGAGCAUGAAUGAGUGGCACAAGAGAGGCGCAAGCGACUGUUUACCACAAACACAGGUGCCUGCUAAAGCGAAAGCUGAUGUAUAGGUGCUGACACCUGCCCGGUGCUGGAAGGUUAAGAGGAGGGGUUAGACUUCGGUCGAAGCUCUGAAUUGAAGCCCCAGUAAACGGCGGCCGUAACUAUAACGGUCCUAAGGUAGCGAAAUUCCUUGUCGGGUAAGUUCCGACCCGCACGAAAGGUGUAACGACUUGCGCACUGUCUCAACGAGGGACCCGGUGAAAUUGAAGUACCUGUGAAGAUGCAGGUUACCCGCGACUGGACAGAAAGACCCCAUGGAGCUUUACUGCAACCUAAGAUUGAACUUAGUUAAUGAAUGUACAGGAUAGGUGGGAGAC
Molecule: ribosomal RNA, 1470 nt
Filed under: metagenome
Description: bacterial LSU rRNA
Rfam family: Bacterial large subunit ribosomal RNA
Source: RNAcentral